This is a long non-coding RNA of Ictalurus furcatus (blue catfish), 447 nucleotides long. RefSeq lists it as uncharacterized. The record is from RefSeq and is a predicted model, not a curated record. The transcript is spliced from 4 exons. Lineage: Eukaryota; Metazoa; Chordata; Actinopteri; Siluriformes; Ictaluridae.
UGACUAACAGUCACAAAUCCAACUGUAAAGUGUUCGACUAGGUGUCAGAUUGUGGAUGGGAGCCAAAGGAAUUCAAAAUUUACUUACAUAGGCAGCACUUCCAGUCAACCUUCUGAGCCCUUUUGAACUGCUUCUCUGACAUAGAAAGAAGUUCCUCUGCCAUUGUCAGUCGCAGAUGUUCCAUGCGCUCCUUGGAUGAGUUUAGAGUCAAAUGGCAAGGGAUAUUUGGAAAUGCACCAACAACUUCUUUUGCCAUCUACAUAAGACAAGAUAAGGUACACUCCAGGGUUCUUAUAAGACUGAACUAAAUCAACAUUCUGCUCUACAAAUUCAUAAGAACUGUGACAGAGUUUAUUAUAAGAUAAACUCUUUGUUUUUCUUUAUGUCAUACAAUUUAAUGAGGAAAUCCAGCCUGCAUGACAAACACUCCACAGCUGUACCAGUCCU